This 287-nucleotide ribosomal RNA is filed under the name uncultured bacterium. Its description in RNAcentral is "partial 16S ribosomal RNA". It matches the Rfam family "Bacterial small subunit ribosomal RNA", at positions 334 to 618 of the family's 1533-position model. The record is from RNAcentral.
UUUUCCUACGGGGGGCAGCAGCGAGGAAUAUUGGUCAAUGGCCGAGAGGCUGAACCAGCCAAGUCGCGUGAGGGAAGAAUGUCCUAUGGAUUGUAAACCUCUUUUGUCAGGGAGCAAAGUCACCCACGUGUGGGUGUUGGAGAGUACCUGAAGAAAAAGCAUCGGCUAACUCCGUGCCAGCAGCCGCGGUAAUACGUAGGGGGCAAGCGUUAUCCGGAUUUACUGGGUGUAAAGGGAGCGUAGGUGGCAUGGUAAGCCAGAAGUGAAAACCCAGGGCUAAACUCUGU